Molecule: ribosomal RNA, 354 nt
Filed under: uncultured bacterium
Lineage: Bacteria
Description: partial 16S ribosomal RNA
Rfam family: Bacterial small subunit ribosomal RNA
Source: RNAcentral
CCUACGGGUGGCAGCAGUAGGGAAUAUUGCACAAUGGGGGAAACCCUGAUGCAGCAACGCCGCGUGGGGGAUGAAGGUUUUCGGAUUGUAAACUCCUUUUGUUAGAGAAGAUAAUGACGGUAUCUAAGGAAGAAGCCCCGGCUAACUACGUGCCAGCAGCCGCGGUAAUACGGAGGGUGCAAGCGUUACCCGGAAUCACUGGGUGUAAAGAGCGCGUAGGCGGGAGAGCAAGUCAGGUGUGAAAUCCUACGGGUUAACCAUAGAACUGCAUUUGAAACUGUUCGUCUAGAGUAUAGGAGAGGUAGGUGGAAUUCUUGGUGUAGGGGUAAAAUCCGUAGAGAUCAAGAGGAAUAC